This 494-nucleotide ribosomal RNA is filed under the name uncultured bacterium. RNAcentral's name for it is "bacterial SSU rRNA". It matches the Rfam family "Bacterial small subunit ribosomal RNA", at positions 8 to 518 of the family's 1533-position model. The record is from RNAcentral.
AGGGUUCGAUUCUGGCUCAGGACGAACGCUGGCGGCGUGCUUCAUACAUGCAAGUCGAACGAGAAACUGACUUCGGUCAGUGGAAAGUGGCGGACGGGUGAGUAAUAUGUAGAGAAUCUGCCCUAGAGAGAGGGACAACAGUUGGAAACGACUGCUAAUACCUCAUAUGCGCGUAGUUGAAAUACUAUUCGUGAAAACUCCGGUGCUCUAGGAUGAGUCUGCAUCUGAUUAGCCUGUUGGCGGUGUAAUGGACCACCAAGGCGACGAUCAGUAGCUGGUUUGAGAGGAUGAUCAGCCACAAUGGGACUGAGACACGGCCCAUACUCCUACGGGAGGCAGCAGGUAGGGUAAUUUUGCGCAAGUCGGGGAAACCCUGACGCAGCAACGCCGCGUGAACGAAUAACGCCCGUUCGGGGUGUAAAGUUCUGUCAGUGGGGACGAAACUUGACGGUACCCACAGAGGAAGCAUCGGCUAACUCCGUGCCAGCAGCAGC